GAUGAACGCUGGCGGCGUGCCUAAUACAUGCAAGUCGAGCGAACAGACGAGGAGCUUGCUCCUCUGACGUUAGCGGCGGACGGGUGAGUAACACGUGGAUAACCUACCUAUAAGACUGGGAUAACUUCGGGAAACCGGAGCUAAUACCGGAUAAUAUAUUGAACCGCAUGGUUCAAUAGUGAAAGACGGUUUUGCUGUCACUUAUAGAUGGAUCCGCGCCGCAUUAGCUAGUUGGUAAGGUAACGGCUUACCAAGGCAACGAUGCGUAGCCGACCUGAGAGGGUGAUCGGCCACACGGGAACUGAGACACGGUCCAGACUCCUACGGGAGGCAGCAGUAGGGAAUCUUCCGCAAUGGGCGAAAGCAUGACGGAGCAACGCCGCGUGAGUGAUGAAGGUCUUCGGAUCGUAAAACUCUGUUAUUAGGGAAGAACAAAUGUGUAAGUAGCUAUGCACGUCUUGACGGUACCUAAUCAGAAAGCCACGGCUAACUACGUG
RNAcentral lists this ribosomal RNA (497 nucleotides) under uncultured bacterium. RNAcentral's name for it is "partial 16S ribosomal RNA". It matches the Rfam family "Bacterial small subunit ribosomal RNA", at positions 28 to 507 of the family's 1533-position model. The record is from RNAcentral.